Molecule: long non-coding RNA, 1225 nt
Organism: Clupea harengus (Atlantic herring)
Lineage: Eukaryota; Metazoa; Chordata; Actinopteri; Clupeiformes; Clupeidae
Source: Ensembl
AGCGAGCUACGACGAAUACCCCCCUGGUGUUGUUUUAAGAGAGUUGUUUUCACAGGGUUUCUGUUUCAUAUAAAGUUAGUGUUGAUUUUAUGUUGUUGAUAUAAAGUUAAUGUUGAUAUGAUGUUGUUUUUCCUAAGUUAGUGUUGUUUUACUGAGUGAGUGUUGUUUUAAGAGAGUUGUUUUCACAGGGUUUCUGUUUCAUAUAAAGUUAGUGUUGAUUUGAUGUUGUUGAUAUAAAGUUAAUGUUGAUAUGAUGUUGUUUUUCCUAAGUUAGUGUUGUUUAUACUGAGUGAGUGUUGUUUUAAGAGAGUUGUUUUCACAGGGUUUCUGUUUCAAAUAAAGUUAGUGUUGAUUUGAUGUUGUUGAUAUAAAGUUAAUGUUGAUAUGAUGUUGUUUUUCCUAAGUUAGUGUUGUUUAUACUGAGUGAGUGUUGUUUUAAGAGAGUUGUUUUCACAGGGUUUCUGUUUCAUAUAAAGUUAGUGUUGAUUUGAUGUUGUUGAUAUAAAGUUAGUGUUGAUUUGAUGUCGUUUCAUAUAAAGUUAGUGUUGAUUUGAUGUUGUUGAUAUAAAGUUAAUGUUGAUUUGAUGUCGUAUCAUACAGAGCUAGUGUUGUGUUGUUUCAUACAAAGCUGGUGUUGUUUUAAGAGAGUUGUUUUCACAGGGUUUCUGUUUCAUAUCAAGUUAGUGUUGAUUUGAUGUCGUUGAUAUAAAGUUAAUGUUGAUAUGAUGUUAUUGAUAUAAAGUUAGUGUUGAUUUGAUGUCGUUUCAUAGAGAGCUGGUGUAGAUUAGAUGUUGUUUUUCCUAAGUUAGUGUUGAUUAUACUGAGUAAGUGUUGUUUUACUGAGUGAGUGUUGAUUUGAUGUCGUAUCAUAGAGAGCUAGUGUUGUUUUGAUGUUGUUGAUAUGAAGUUAGUGUUGAUUUGAUGUCGUAUCAUAGAGAGCUAUGUUGUUUUGAUGUCGUAUCAUACAGAGUUAGUGUUGUUUUCCAGGCAUGGCGUCGAAUGUGGUGAGAGAGAGAUGGAGGGAGAGAGAGAGAGAGAGGGGAAGAGAUUUGAUGUCGUAUCAUACAGAGCUAGUGUUGAUUUGAUGUCGUUUCAUAGAGAGUUACGGUGCAAACCCAUGACAGCGACGCGAUACGCUUCCAUCACUUUGAGUGGGCGUGUUGUAACGUGUGGAAAUAGCAUUUUCAAACUGUCAGAGACGACACCAAACAUUCUGAUUGGCCGC